UCAAGCGAACAAGGGCGCAGGGCGAAUGCCUUGGCACUGGGAGCCGAUGAAAGACGUGAUAAGCUGCGAUAAGCUUCGGGGAGUUGCAAAUAAGCAUUGAUCCGGAGAUUUCUGAAUGAGGAAACUCACCUGGGUUCAUACUCAGGUACGUUAUACUGAACUUAAAAAUAGGUAUAUCGAGGGAACCGCCUGAACUGAAACAUCUAAGUAGGGCGAGGAAGAGACAUCAAACGAGAUUCCGUAAGUAGUGGCGAGCGAACGCGGAAGAGGGCAAACCGGAAGUAGAAAUACUUCCGGGGUACGGACCGCAUUUAGGACUUGAGUUGUUAACCGAACGGCAUGGGAAGGCCGGUCAGAGAGUGUGAGAACCACGUAGGUGAAAACGACAAGAGCUGAGCGAGUUCCAGAGUACGGCCAGACACGUGAAACCUGGUCGGAAUAUGGGGGGACCACCCUCCAACCCUAAAUACUACCCAGUGACCGAUAGCGUAUAGUACUGUGAAGGAAAGGUGAAAAGCACCCCGGGAGGGGAGUGAAAAAGAACCUGAAACCCUGUGCCUACAAGCACCUAGAGCACGUCAAUGUGUGAUAGGGUACUUUUUGUAGAACGGUCCGGCGAGCGAUUGUAUGCAGCAAGGUUAAGGACUUAAGGUCUGGAGCCGAAGCGAAAGCGAGUUUGAAAAGGGCGUUAAGUUGCAUACAAUGGGCCCGAAACCGGGUGACCUACCCAUGGUCAGGUUGAAGUGGAAGUAAAAUUCCAUGGAGGACCGAACCGACCUCCGUUGAAAAGGCGGCGGAUGAACUGUGGGUAGCGGAGAAAUUCCAAUCGAACCCGGAGAUAGCUGGUUCUCCCCGAAAUAGUUUUAGGACUAGCCUCAAGUUAGAUACCUGGAGGUAAAGCACUGAAUAGCCUAGCGGCCGAGAGGUUAGCGAAGCUUAUCAAACUCAGAAUGCCAGAGUAUUGAUGCUUGGGAGUCAGACAGUGUCAGAUAAAUGUCAUUGUCAAAAGGGAAACAGCCCAGAUCUACAGCUAAGGUCCCAAAGUCAGGUUAAGUGGAAAACGAUGUGAAGAUACGUAGACAACCAGGAUGUUGGCUCAGAAGCAGCCACACAUUCAAAGAGUGCGUAAUAGCUCACUGGUCGAGCGUCUUUGCGCGGAGAAUUUAACGGGGCUAAACCUGACACCGAAGCUUAGGCAAUACAGCAAUGUAUUGGGUAGGGGAGCGUUGUAUACGCGGUGAAACAGUAGCGCAAGCGGCUGUGGAGUGUAUAGAAGUGAGAAUGCCGGAAUGAGUAGCGCGAAUGCAGUGAGAAUCUGCAUGGCCGAAAGCCUCAGGUUUCUGGAGGAAGGUUCGUCCGCUCCAGGUUAGUCGGGAGCUAAGGUGAGGCCUAACGGCGUAGCCGAUGCACAGACGGUAGAGAUUCCGUCACCACCAAAAGAGUUAAGCACAGGGACACAUUUGAAGUCUCGGAGCCGGGUGUUGGUUCCGGUAGCGAUCGAGGGAAAUUAGUACCGAAGUCCGGGAUGGAAGAUGGCGAGAAAAGCUGUGUGUAUUUCUGCGGUGCCCGUACCGCAAACCGACACAGGUAGGUAGGAAGAAGAUUCUAAGGCCAACGGGAGAAGGGUUGUUAAGGAACUCGGCAAAUUGACCCCGUAACUUCGGGAGAAGGGGUGCUCCAGAGAUGGAGCCGCAGAGAAUCGGCCCAAGCAACUGUUUACCAAAAACACAGGUUUGUGCUAAAUCGAAAGAUGACGUAUACGAGCUGACGCCUGCCCGGUGCUGGAAGGUUAAGAGGAGAUGUGCAAGCAUUGAAUCGAAGCCCCAGUGAACGGCGGCCGUAACUAUAACGGUCCUAAGGUAGCGAAAUUCCUUGUCAGGUAAGUUCUGACCCGCAUGAAAGGCGUAAUGAUUUGGGCACUGUCUCGACAGCCCGCCCGGCGAAAUUGUAGUACCGGUGAAGAUGCCGGUUACCCGCGACAAGACGGAAAGACCCCAUGGAGCUUUACUGUAGCCUAAUAUUGGGUUUCGAUGUUGCAUGCACAGGAUAGAUGGGACACAGGGAAACAAGUGCUUUGGCAUUUGUGGAGUGGCCGUUGGGAUACCAUCCUUGCGAUAUUGGAAUUCUAACCUGCGCCUUUGAAUCAAGGCGGGGGACAUUGUUAGGUGGGCAGUUUGACUGGGGCGGUCGCCUCCUAAAGAGUAACGGAGGCGUUCAAAGGUUCGCUCAGCUUGAACGGAAAUCAAGCAAAAGAGUGCAAACGCAGAAGCGAGCCUAACUGCGAGACUGACGGGUCGAGCAGUAACGAAAGUUGGAGUUAGUGAUCCGGUGGUAUGUGAGUGGAAAUGCCAUCGCUCAACGGAUAAAAGUUACCCUGGGGAUAACAGGCUGAUCUCCCCCAAGAGUCCACAUCGACGGGGAGGUUUGGCACCUCGAUGUCGGCUCAUCGCAUCCUGGGGCUGUAUUCGGUCCCAAGGGUUUGGCUGUUCGCCAAUUAAAGCGGUACGCGAGCUGGGUUCAGAACGUCGUGAGACAGUUCGGUCCCUAU
Molecule: ribosomal RNA, 2548 nt
Filed under: human gut metagenome
Description: bacterial LSU rRNA
Rfam family: Bacterial large subunit ribosomal RNA
Source: RNAcentral